UUGAAAAUGAAGUACUUCUUGGCAUCGCACAGUGGAAGCUCUUUUCCUAAGCCAGCCUUUUACUCUGUUACUUGUGCGUGGUCGAUAAUACAAACACGAUUGCUGCAUGACAGAAGUGAUGUUUUAGUGCACGUAUAUUGCCAUUUCAUCACAAGGAAAGUUGUCUAUCAGAAGAUAAAGCACACCAUUUCACAGAGAUUAUGUUAAAUACUGUGUCAAAUAUUUAUAUUGUCCCACAUCAUUUGAAUUCCAGUGGGAUUACAAUGACUGCUCUUGUGCUUUUAUGCAGCAGACCGACAUUCUGGGACUUGCAUGUAUUUGUUGUUAAACAAGCCGGGCUAUGAACAGUGAAACUAAUAAGAUCUGGCAUCUUACUGGUUUGCUUUCUACUUUUCAUAGUGGCCAUCUUACUCCCAGGCCUGUCUUCUGUCGGCAUUUCUCACCGUGGUCUCUGCAUCCCAGCCAGGCUGUUCCCAUUUGGUUGGGCAGGGACCUCACCCAGCAGGCCUCAACGUACAGCACCUGCAGCUCUUGUGAUUAGUAUGCCGUCUGUCUUCAUUUCAUUGCUACAUUAGUCUGAUGGGAUGCAUAGAAACUGUGCUAGACUGCUUGAUGAAGAUUCAUUUAUCGGAGUUUAUGCUAUUUUGCUUGUUCAGCAUCCCAGGGGGAGAUUCAAAACCUGGAAAAAAAAAGCCAUCAGCUUUCGGAAAUCAGGCAUUGAAAUACAGCUUGCUGCUGUUGCUGGCAGGGCUGGACUGGCUGGCUUUCUGGAUGACCCACAUUUGGAUUCUUGUUCUUCAACACACAGUGGCUUUCACAGAUGUCAGUGCUGGCUACCUACUGUGGAGAAAUUAAACCUCUGCACGUUAGCCAAUGUACAAACUGUUCCCUCUCUUUAACAUCACUUCACCUUCCAGUGUAGGAAGGCUCAGAGGCACACACUGGGGUACUUAGUCACAUUUUCCCAUAUGCACCUUUAGAUUUAGCUGUCAUUUUGUACAGGAGAUAGGUUUAAGUCUAAAAUAUCUCUUCUGAUUAGAACAACCCUGCACUGGUAGAUCAGACCGAUAUUUUCAAUGGGCUUGACUCCUGUCUGCAGUAAGGUCCUGGACUUCCAUUUGCAUCAAAGUCCUAUUCUUGCAGGAUGUUUCCUGGAGCUGAGUCUGUAUCAGUCUUGGCUGUCACUCCAGUUGCUUGGUCUGUUAAAAAGAUGGAAAAACAAUAUAUCCAACCUUGUUAAGCACAGGAAUUUUCCACUGUCUUCCUCCCACCACUGCCAUAGAGGGAGUUUCUGAGUGAGAGGGGACUUGUUCCAAGCAUUUUAUGGCCCAGUGAUGACCUCUUCCUAAAAUAGCACCUGAAGAUCAUUAGCUUCUGGAACAAGAUAAUGAGCUCCUACUCUCCCACCCACAUACCCCUGCGUGUAUGUCCUGGGGAGUGUGGGCACCCCCAGCUCACUGUCAGGCAGUGAGUGGUGUGUGAAAGGAGCUCUGUGGCACUCAGGAUAUGUUUUGCUGCCAACAUAUGACCUUGUAUCCCUGUUCCUCACCUUAUUGCCCACAGGCGGAACUGUUGAAUAUAUGAGGUGAGGAACAGAGGUUUACAUGCGUUGGCAGUGAGAUUAUUAGUUAAUUCACUCCUGUUUUCACUUCAUCCCCUGGCUGAAAACAAAGAUUUCUGAAAUGCCUUCUUCCAGCAAGUAGCAGAGAGAAGACAAGUUCUAUGGAAGGUACAUAGCUGGAUGUGUUUUUUUCCACCAAAAACAUGCACGGCCUUACUUUGUUAAAUGUUUACCAUCUUUGGCGCUUGCCUUUCAGUCCCAGAAAACUCUUGUUUUUCUUCUCCCAAGCAGUAAGAUUCCCCGUACAGGGUGAGGAGGCACUCCGAUCACCAGGCAGA
Long non-coding RNA from Anser brachyrhynchus (Pink-footed goose), 1899 nucleotides. NCBI's taxonomy places the organism in Eukaryota, Metazoa, Chordata, Aves, Anseriformes, Anatidae. The record is from Ensembl.